GAUGAACGCUGGCGGCGUGCCUAACACAUGCAAGUCGAGCGAACAGACGAGGCUUUCUCUCUUCUGUCGUUAGCGGCGGACGGGUGAUUCACACGUGGAUAACCUUCCUAUAAGACUGGGAUAACUUCGGGAAUCCUGAUCUAAUACCGGAUCAUAUAUUGAACCGCAUGGUUCAUUAGUCCUAGCCGUUUUUGCUGUCACUUAUAGAUAUUUCCUCGCUGAUUUAGCUAGUUGGUAAGGUAACGGCUUACUAUGGCAACUAUGCGUAGCCGACCUGAGAGAGGGAUCGGCAAAACUGGAACUGGGAAACGGUCAAGACUCCUACGGGAGGAAGAAGUAGGGAAUCUUGAGAAAUGGGCGAAAGCUUGACGGAGCAAGGCCGCGUGAGUGAUGAAGGUCUUCGGAUGGAAAAAAUCUGUUAUUAGGGAAGAACAAAUGUGUAUAAAACUAUGGAAGAGUUGACGGUACCUAAUGAAAAAGCAACGGCUAACUACGUG
This 497-nucleotide ribosomal RNA is filed under the name uncultured bacterium. Its description in RNAcentral is "partial 16S ribosomal RNA". It matches the Rfam family "Bacterial small subunit ribosomal RNA", at positions 28 to 507 of the family's 1533-position model. The record is from RNAcentral.